CCUGGGAGGCGGAGGUUGCAGUGAGCUGAGAUCAUUUCACUGUACUUCAGCCUGGACGACAGAGUGAGACUUUGUCUCAAAAAAAAAAAAAAAAAAAAAUUUUGAGGCUAGACCAUACUGGGUUCAAAUCCACAUUUAAUACUAGGGCUGCCAUAACAAAGUACCACAGGCUGGGUGGUUUAAACAACAGAAAUGUAUUUUCUCUCAAUUCUGGAGGCAAGAAGUCUGAGAUGAAGGUGUUGACAGGAUUGGUGUCUUCUGAGACUGCACUUCUUGGCCUGGGGGUGGCUGUCUUCUCCUUGUGUCUUCACGUGGACUCCCCUUGCUCUGUGUUGUAAUUUUCUCUUGCUACUAUUAGGACACUAAUCAUAUUGGGUUAGGGCUCACCCUGGUGACCUCAUUUUAUCAUAGUUACUUCUUUAAAGAUCUAUCUCCAAAUAUGGUCCUAUUCUGAGUUGGUAGCGGCUAGAACUUCAACAUAUUAAUUGGGUGGAAUGCAGUUCAGCUCAUAACAGGAGACAAGAAGCAGAAACUGAGAGGGGAGUGCGGAGGAUGAUAAAAAAGGGGAUCCCGCAGUGGCUUACACCUGUAAUCCCAGCACUUUGGGAGGCUGAGG
RNAcentral lists this long non-coding RNA (616 nucleotides) under Homo sapiens (human). RNAcentral's name for it is "non-protein coding lnc-NDFIP1-5:1". Lineage: Eukaryota; Metazoa; Chordata; Mammalia; Primates; Hominidae. The record is from RNAcentral.